CAUGUUUGGGUGAUUGCAGUUGUUUUGUCUCCAUAGCAACAGGUGUCAUAUUUCGAAAGCCGGGAGGAUUUUUCUUUCUUUUUUUUUUACCGGAAAAGGCCGAAGCGCGAGCGAGCAGCCGCGAGUCGGUGCCCGCAAACAGGAGGCCACUUUUCUCAGAAAUUACGCAGCGGGUAUCGCGUCUCAUUAGGCGUCUUAACCGGAACAAACAGCGGGGCAUUUCGUGAUCGCUGCCCGGGCCCCGAGGCAGCGAUAAUAACUCCGCAGCGAUGCGCUAAAUGUAACCUCAUUCAGCGCAAAAAGGGACAUUAUAUUCACGCAGAUGAGACUUUGAUGCUACAUGAUACGGGUGAAUCCACAUCUGACAGCACUUACAACACUGGGAGCUGAAAACGAGCU
This is a long non-coding RNA of Gasterosteus aculeatus aculeatus (three-spined stickleback), 399 nucleotides long. NCBI's taxonomy places the organism in Eukaryota, Metazoa, Chordata, Actinopteri, Perciformes, Gasterosteidae. The record is from Ensembl.